This 709-nucleotide ribosomal RNA is filed under the name uncultured bacterium. RNAcentral describes it as "bacterial SSU rRNA". It matches the Rfam family "Bacterial small subunit ribosomal RNA", at positions 789 to 1501 of the family's 1533-position model. The record is from RNAcentral.
GGUAGUCCACGCCGUAAACGAUGUACACUAGUUGUUGUGAGGCUCGACCUUGCAGUAAUGCAGUUAACACAUUAAGUGUACCGCCUGGGGAGUACGGUCGCAAGAUUAAAACUCAAAGGGAUAGACGGGGACCCGCACAAGCGGUGGAGCAUGUGGUUUAAUUCGACGAUACACGAAGAACCUUACCUGGACUUGACAUAGUAAGAACUUUCUAGAGAUAGAUUGGUGUCUGCUUGCAGAAACUUAUAUACAGGUGCUGCACGGCUGUCGUCAGCUCGUGUCGUGAGAUGUUGGGUUAAGUCCCGCAACGAGCGCAACCCUCGUCAUUAGUUGCUAACAGUUCGGCUGAGAACUCUAAUGAGACUGCCUACGCAAGUAGGAGGAAGGUGAGGACGACGUCAAGUCAUCAUGGCCCUUACGUCCAGGGCUACACACGUGCUACAAUGGGGCAUACAAAGAGCAGCAAUACCGCGAGGUGGAGCAAAUCUCAAAAAUGUCUCUCAGUUCGGAUUGUAGUCUGCAACUCGACUACAUGAAGUUGGAAUCGCUAGUAAUCGUAGAUCAGCUAUGCUACGGUGAAUACGUUCCCGGGUCUUGUACUCACCGCCCGUCACACCAUGGGAGUUGAACUCAUUCGAAGCGGGGAUGCUAAAGUAGCUACCUUCCACAGUGGAUUCAGCGACUGGGGUGAAGUCGUAACAAGGUAACC